CUGAACACUGGUUACUGGUUAGGGGUGUGUUUGUCUGAACACUGGUUACUGGUUAGGGGUGUGUUUGUCUGAACACUGGUUACUGGUUAGGGGUGUGUUUGUCUGAACACUGGUUACUGGUUAGGGGUGUGUUUGUCUGAACACUGGUUAGGGGUGUGUUUGUCUGAACACUGGUUACUGGUUAGGGGUGUGUUUGUCUGAACACUGGUUAGGGGUGUGUUUGUCUGAACACUGGUUACUGGUUAGGGGUGUGUUUGUCUGAACACUGGUUACUGGUUAGGGGUGUGUUUGUCUGAACACUGGUUACUGGUUAGGGGUGUGUUUGUCUGAACACUGGUUAGGGGUGUGUUUGUCUGAACACUGGUUACUGGUUAGGGGUGUGUUUGUCUGAACACUGGUUACUGGUUAGGGGUGUGUUUGUCUGAACACUGGUUAGGGGUGUGUUUGUCUGAACACUGGUUACUGGUUAGGGGUGUGUUUGUCUGAACACUGGUUACUGGUUAGGGGUGUGUUUGUCUGAACACUGGUUACUGGUUAGGGGUGUGUUUGUCUGAACACUGGUUACUGGUUAGGGGUGUGUUUGUCUGAACACUGGUUAGGGGUGUGUUUGUCUGAACACUGGUUAGGGGUGUGUUUGUCUGAACACUGGUUACUGGUUAGGGGUGUGUUUGUCUGAACACUGGUUACUGGUUAGGGGUGUGUUUGUCUGAACACUGGUUACUGGUUAGGGGUGUGUUUGUCUGAACACUGGUUACUGGUUAGGGGUGUGUUUGUCUGAACACUGGUUACUGGUUAGGGGUGUGUUUGUCUGAACACUGGUUACUGGUUAGGGGUGUGUUUGUCUGAACACUGGUUACUGGUUAGGGGUGUGUUUGUCUGAACACUGGUUACUGGUUAGGGGUGUGUUUGUCUGAACACUGGUUACUGGUUAGGGGUGUGUUUGUCUGAACACUGGUUAGGGGUGUGUUUGUCUGAACACUGGUUACUGGUUAGGGGUGUGUUUGUCUGAACACUGGUUACUGGUUAAGGGUGUGUUUGUCUGAACACUGGUUACUGGUUAGGGGUGUGUUUGUCUGAACACUGGUUACUGGUUAGGGGUGUGUUUGUCUUUAGUGUGUGUGUGUGUGUGUGUGUGUGUGUGUGUGUGUGUGUGUGUGUGUGUGUGUGUGUGUGUGUGUGUGUGUGUGUGUGUGUGUGUGUGUGUGUGUGUGUGUGUUCGACCCACUGAAGUACCCCCUCUCUCUUUUAAAUGCCAUAUUAUGUCUAUAUACAGUGUUGUAACAAUGUACAAAUAGUUAAAGUACAAAAAGCAUAAAUAUGGCUUGUAUUUACAAUGGUGUUUGUUCUUCACUGGUUGACCUUUGCUUGUGGCAACAGGUCACACAUCUUGCCGCUGAGAUGGCACACUGUGGUAUUUCACCCAGUAGAUAUGGGAGUUUAUUGGGUUUGGUUUCUAAUUCUGUCUGUCUUUGUCUGUCUGUCUGUCUGUCUGUCUGUCUGUCUGUCUGUCUGUCUGUCUGUGUCUCUCUCUCUCUGUCUGUCUGUCUGUGUCUCUCUCUGUCUCUCUCUCUGUCUGUCUGUCUGUCUGUGUCUCUCUCUGUCUCUCUCUCU
Long non-coding RNA from Oncorhynchus keta (chum salmon), 1611 nucleotides. RefSeq lists it as uncharacterized. The record is from RefSeq and is a predicted model, not a curated record. The transcript has 3 exons. NCBI's taxonomy places the organism in Eukaryota, Metazoa, Chordata, Actinopteri, Salmoniformes, Salmonidae.